AUUGAACACUGGCGGCAUGCUUUACACAUGCAAGUCGAACGGUAACAGGCCGCCAGGUGCUGACGAGUGGCGCACGGGUGAGUAAUGCAUCGGAACGUGCCCAGUCGUGGGGGAUAACUACUCGAAAGAGUAGCUAAUACCGCAUACGAUCUAUGGAUGAAAGCGGGGGACCGUAAGGCCUCGCGCGAUUGGAGCGGCCGAUGUCAGAUUAGGUAGUUGGUGGGGUAAAGGCUCACCAAGCCAACGAUCUGUAGCUGGUCUGAGAGGACAACCAGCCACACUGGGACUGAGACACGGCCCAGACUCCUACGGGAGGCAGCAGUGGGGAAUUUUGGACAAUGGGCGCAAGCCUGAUCCAGCAAUGCCGCGUGCAGGAAGAAGGCCUUCGGGUUGUAAACUGCUUUUGUACGGAACGAAACGGCUCUGGUUAAUACCCGGGGCUAAUGACGGUACCGUAAGAAUAAGCACCGGCUAACUACGUG
RNAcentral lists this ribosomal RNA (482 nucleotides) under uncultured bacterium. RNAcentral's name for it is "partial 16S ribosomal RNA". It matches the Rfam family "Bacterial small subunit ribosomal RNA", at positions 30 to 507 of the family's 1533-position model. The record is from RNAcentral.